Molecule: ribosomal RNA, 253 nt
Filed under: uncultured bacterium
Lineage: Bacteria
Description: partial 16S ribosomal RNA
Rfam family: Bacterial small subunit ribosomal RNA
Source: RNAcentral
UACAGAGGGGGCGAGCGUUGUUCGGAAUUACUGGGCGUAAAGGGCGCGUAGGCGGCCCUCUAAGUCAGACGUGAAAUCCCUCAGCUUAACUGGGGAACUGCGUCUGAUACUGGAUGGCUUGAGUUUGGGAGAGGGAUGCGGAAUUCCAGGUGUAGCGGUGAAAUGCGUAGAUAUCUGGAGGAACACCGGUGGCGAAGGCGGCAUCCUGGACCAACACUGACACUGAGGAGCGAAAGCCAGGGGAGCAAACAGG